AGUAGGGAGGCUCUUCACAUUCCAGACAUUCUUAGAGGGUACAGAGGAGGCGGAAAGAAAGGCUAUUCCCAGUUCUCCACAUCAGUGCCACAUGAUACCCCACGGGCAUGAUCCUAGGCAGGCACAAGGGCAUGUGGCCUUUGGAGCCAAGGCAGAGCCCUGCUCCUGGUUGUGCCCAGCCCAGGGCUCGGGCUUCCAUGGCAGACUCAAGGAGCCCAUCUCCCUCCAUCCAGCCACACACUCAGGCCCUGCUUUCUCAGGAGCGGACUCUUCCAGGUGAGGAAAAUGUGCCUCCAAAUGAUCUGAGCUCCUGGGUUUGGAGCUAAGGAAUGUACGGUGUUUGAGUGACGUUGCGGGCAGGAGGGAAAUGAAACCAGCCGGCGGGAGCCACCUUGCCGUGGAGCUGGCUCUGUGGGCAGGUGGCUGGCACUCCAGGGCCCAGGGCAAGGUCUGUGGGGUGUGGUGGGGCCGCCCCGACAAAUAGCGGGCAGGAAGAGCAGAGGCUCAGAGGCCAGCUGGGGAGGCCCAUGGGCCUUCUGAGCCCUUUGGGGUUACUGUCCUUCAGAAACAGAGACACAGCUGGCCCACGGGCUGGGGAGUGCUCCGUGGGCCAAGCUGGCCUCUGGGUGAAGACGGGCCUCUGCUCCACUCCCCGAGUUCUCUCCUGAUCCUGGAAGUUCACGCUCUGUUCUCUGGGCUGCCAUCUCCUUUCUGUGAACGAGGACACAGUGUCCGUCUGUGUGGCCGGGACCUGUGUCAGACCCAGGGCCCUGGAGUGGCCUGUGAACUUGAGAGUAGUACCUCCCCGGGGGCCAGGCCUGCUCGGCCCUGACCUGGGCCUGGGGGAGUCCUGGUCUUGCUGUGGCAGGGGCUCCAGGAGUCGAGGGAGGGUGUGGCGAAGGCCUGUGGGUUGGCACCGCAGUGUGGCUGCUGCUGAGCCUGGGAGGGACACCUCUGAGAGCCCAGUCUGCCCUGCCGGGCUCCAAGGCCUCUGCACAGACGUCUGACUGGCACUUUGUAGCUCAGGCCCCGGGAGAGACGCCUGCUGUCUUUUUACAGCUGGGGCUCCACCCAGACUGCAGCAGGGCCCAGCGCCCUGUCACACCCUUGGCGUGGACAGGGUUUUCAUUCAUGUGGGAUCUGGAGCUGCAGCUGUGCCCCAGAGAGGAGGCCAGGAGGAGGGAAGCCUUCACAUCUUGCAGGCUCACUGGGAAGCUCUUUGAAAAUGAGCUGUAAUUAAACCCACAUCACGAUGGGGCAUUGUGAGUUCAGGGCACUGUCCCCGGGCACUGAGAGGUCUGGCUUUGCUGCGGCUCAUGGUAUGGCUGUGAGUGAGGAUUUAAAUAGGCCUUUCCCUCCAGGAUAAUGCCACGUUACUCUCGGGAAGUUGCACAAUGUCACAUCAGAGUCCGAUGCACAGCUGAGUUCAAAAAGAGUACUAGGUUGAGUGUCAGUCUCUUAGGGAUGGAUGUAGACCAUUGAUUAAAAUGAAAUGUUGGGUCAGAAAACCCACACUUGUCCAAACACCAGGAGGCGGGCUGGGCUCCACAGAGCUCCGGAGGGAAGGUCAGGGAAGCUCAGUGUGUGAAUCAGUGCUUCGUCCUUUUGAAGACUGUCCACUUUACAGUAACAGUGUCAAACCCAGGGGCAGGAUUCAGCCAAAUGCGUUAGGAGGCUUCCUGUGUCACAGGAAGGCUUUCCAGCUCAGCCAGCAAUCUGAAGACCCCACUGAGCAGGGCCCGUGAGCAGCAACCCCUGUGGACCGCUUCCAGGCUGGGCUUGCCCACCCAGCUGGGCCACUUGGGGGUCAGCACACAGGUGAACCGGGCUAGACACAGUGGGCCAGGUGAGAGAUGCGGAGAUGGUUCUCCAUGCCAGCGUGUGGGGGAUGAGUCAAUGCAUUUGAGAUGUGCUGGGACACAGAAUUGACUGACUUGACCCUGAUUGGGUUAGGAAUGAGGGGACAAGAGAGCUUUGUGUGUCUUCUAGUUCCUACAACAGGAUGCUUAGGCGCAACGAAUCUAAUACAGACGAGAAGAUGGGAUCUGGAACCGGAUGAGUUUGUUUGCCCCAUUGGAUUGGAGUGAUGUGGGAUGGUAAGAGGUGAGAGGGUAGGAAGGUUCGCACGUGGGCUUGAAGCUCAGUGAAGAGAUCUGGGCUAGAGGUACCACGUGAGAUUCAGCACCAUUGGGAAGAUAAUUCUAGAAAGAGACAAGGGUGAGAUGACAGGGUAGGGGGAGAGAUCGUCGCCCGAGGAGUCCCUGUGAGUGAGGGAUGGCAGGAGAGUGCUCCUGGAGGAGGCCGGGAAACUGCGGCCAGAGGCAGUGGAGAAUGUGGGAUGGGGAGCCACCGAGCAGUAAGGAAGGGGACCCCGUCUGUCCACGAGGCAGCCCACGCUCACCCUCAGGAAGAGUGCAGCCAGGCCAAAAUGGCGGGCCGCUCUGGCUGCAGUGGAUGAAUAGGCCUGUGGAAACACUGACCCAUGCCUGUUCAAGGACGUGAUGGAUUGUUCUAGAAAGUUUGAUGAAGAAAAACUAUGAACACUGAAUAACACUGAUGAAAUGCAGUUGGUGGGUGAUGGAGCUUAUGGGGUGGGAAGAGGGUGUGACACCAAGUGCUCCCAGGGAGCGACGCGGUCUCUGGCAGGACGGGCUGGGCAUCAGGCCAGGGCGAGCACUCUGAAGCCGGCCUUCAGAUCCCAGUUCUGCUUCCUGGGUAGGCAGGGUGUUCAGUCACAGCAGAGAGGUCAGCUCCCACUAGCUCCAGAAGGGGCGGCUCUGGGCCUCUAGAGCUGAGCACCAGGGGACUGCUGGUCAGGCCUGGGGCCGAGGUCGGCAGGGAGCCCCAAAAGCCUCCUGCAGACUUGCUCCUCGUCGGGGAGACACAGCCACCCUGGGAUCAGCUCAGGGGACCCCAAGUUCCUGACUCCAGAGAGAAGAGGAAACUCCCCAACAGAAGGGCUCGCUAGGCCUUGCCCCCAGGUCCACAGUGGGACGUGGAGCCACGGUGGACAGCUGGACAUGGAAGCAGGAGGACUCCUCGGUGGGGACGAUGAGCAAGUGGACCUCACACACACGGUGGCGAUAUACCCCAGUGUCCCUGGACCUCGUCUCUCUCCCUAAAGAUGCAGGUGCCAUCUGACCCUAUCACCUUAUCUGUCACUUGAGAUAAUGUACCCACAUCUGGUCCAUGGCUGGCACCAUAGGUUCUCAACCCGUGAUGGUGUCGUGUUUGCAAGACUCUAUGCUUUUGGAGCAGUUUAAGGUUCACAGAAAAACAGAAGAAGACCCAGGACUUCCCAUCUACCUCUCACCUCCACGCACACAAAGCCCCCUCCUGCCAUGACAUGCCCACCAGACUGUCUCACUGUUACAAGUGAUGAACCUACAUCGACACACCAUCACCUAGAGUCUGUACCUUAAUUAGGGCUCACUCUUAGUGGGAUGCAUUCUAUGGAUUUGAACAAAAGUAAGGAGACAUGCAUCCAUCACUUUAGUAUCAUAUGGUAUUUUCACUCUCUAAAAAUCCCAUCUUCCUGUCUGUUCAUCCCUCCUAUGUUAGUCAGCUUUCUGUUACUGCAACGAAAUACCUAAGGUAAUCAACUUAGAAAAGACCAAAACGUUACAUUGGUUCAUAGUUUUCAAGGCUUUAGUCCAUAUGGUAUUGACCUUGUUUCCUUUGGACCUGUGGUGAGGCAGCCCGACACGGUGGGAGUGUGUGUGGAGGAAAGCUGUUCACCUCCUGGCAGAAGUCAGGAAAAGACCAGCCACCAAGACCCCUGGUGACCUCCCUUCCUCCCACCAGGCCCCGCCUCCUGAAGGUUUUACCACCUCCCCGGAGGGCCAAGUGCAGGAGCAAACCUGUGGCCUUUAGAGACAUUCAGACCAAAUCUAGCCCCUCCCUCCCCCGGCCCCUGGCAACACUGGGCUUAGUGUCGCCCUGAUUCUGCCUUUUUAGAAUAAUGCACAGUUGGAGUCAUGCAGUCUGCCACUUUUCAGAUGGCUUUCUUUCACGUGAUGAUCUGCGUGAGAUUUCUCCUGUCCUCUCUGGCUUGAGAGCUGAGUGUGAAGCACUCUCCCACCGUUUUAUUCUUUCACUACUGAAGGACGACUUGGAGGCCCCCAAUUUGGGGUGAUUGUGAAUAAGGCUGCAGUAUGAACCCACGUGCAGGGUGUGUUUGUGUGUUUUCUGGUUUGGCCUGGCCACACGUUUCCACGCCCGUUGUGCAGAGGAGUGGGAUCCUGUGGUAAGUGUCGGUGAGGGUUUGUAGGAGACACCAGACUCCCCGGAGCACUGCGCUCUUCUGCACUCCCACCAGCAGUGGGGAGACCUGCUGCUCCUCAUCCCCGCACGGGGUGGGCCGCCUCCUGUCUUGGCCGCCCUGACGGGUGCAGCGGUGUCUCGCUGCUGUCCGACCUGCGUGUUCCUGAUGACGUCCCACGUGAAGCAUCUUUCCAAACGCCUCCUUGCCAUCUGUAGGUCUGCCGUGGUGAGGUCUGGGCCCGUUCUCCAGUGGUUUUUGGUUCCUUGUGGCAGUUUUAGGAGCUCUUUGGCGAGUUUGGACAACGGUCCUCUAUCAGAUGCACCUUUCACCAAUACCUCCCCUAGAUGUGGCUUCCCCUUUCUUUCUCUUGACAGUGACUUUUACAGAGAAAAAAGGGUUUAUUUGAAUGAAGCCCAGCUUACCCAUGCUUUCUUUUAUGGAUCACUCUUUGCUGUUGUAUCUAAGAAGUCGUCACAAACCCAGGGUCACCUAGGUUUUCUCCUCUGAGACUGUUACACUUUUGCGUUUUACUUUUAGGUCUGUGACCCACUUUGAAUUAACUUUUUAUGAAAGGUGUAAGAGCUGGUCUAAAUUUACUUUUACCUGUGUGGAUGCCCAGUGUUCGGCACAAGCCCCGUUGUAUCACCUUUGUUCCUUUGUCAAAAUUCAGUUGCCUCUAUUUUUGUGGGUCUGUUUCUGUAUCCUCUGGUGUUUCCAUUGAUCUUUUUGUCUAUUCUUUUAUCAAUAUCACAGUGUCUUGAUUCCUGUAGUUUUAUAGAAAGUCUUGAAAUUAACUUUAACUUUGUUCUUCUCCUUCAGUAUUGUGUUGGCUAUUUGAGGUCUCCAUAUUAAUUUAAGAAUUCAUUAGUCAAUAAUAAUAAUUUGCUGGGAUUUUGAUUGGGUUUGCAUGGAAUCUAUAGAUCAAGUUGGGAAGAACUGACAUCUUGAUAAUAUUGAGUCUUCCUAUUCACGAACAUGGAACAUCUAUUUAAUUCUUAGAUUGUUUUCAUGAGAACUUUGCAGUUUUCUUCAGAUUGACUUUUUGAUUUAUUCCUAAGGCAUUUCAUUCUGGGGCGGUGCUAAUAUAAAUGUUAAUGUGUUUCUAAUUUCAAGUACCAUUUGCUCAUUAUUGGGACAUAGGAAAGAGAAUGACUUGCAUAUUUAUCUAGUCUUCUGCAAUCUUGCAGUCAUCCCUUAAUAAAUCCAGGUUUUUUUGAUCCUUUUUUUCCCAGGUUCUCUACAUAGAUGAUCCCUUCUUUUGUGAACAAAGACAGGUUCACCUCCUCCUUGCCAGUCUGUGUGUCUCUUAAGUCUUUGUCUAGUGUGUUGCCUGAGCGAGGACUUCCUGUCCAAUGUUGACAAGCAGUGGUGAGAGGCCUCCUUGCCUUGCUCCCCACCUUUGGGGGAAAGGUCGGAUUCGCUCACCUGUAAGUACCAUGAUAGCUGCUGAGUUCUCGUGGAUUUCUUUUAUUCAAGUUGAGGAAGCUCCUAGUUUACUGAGGGUAGCUCUUGUUUUUUGUGGCUAAGUGAAAGGGGACACGUGAGAUCGUGUUCUGCGUGGCUAAGGGGACACAGGUCAGAGAGAGGCCCUGGAGAGUACGGAGCUCACCCUGGGGGAUCUUCAGCUGCACUGGCAGGAAGGGCGCGGCCGGCUAGCCUAGAUCUUGGAGCAGAACAGGCCCAGGCGCUUGGCUUUCCAAACCUCUUUGAAGAGCUUCCUCUCUAGUUUCAGAUGAAGGGUGGGGGCAGGCGCCGGGCCGCUGUCCCACGCAAGGCCAGAGCCAAGGCAGCGGGGUGCGGGUGAGCAGGCCGAGGGGCCCCGUGUGGGGGCUCUGAGCACACAGAGCCUCUGCUGAGCCACAGUCGCUUACACGUGAGCCAACUUCACAACCCAAUUCAGGAGAAGUGUUUUCUGUUUCUUUUCUUCUUUGGAGCAGGACACGAGGAAGAGAUAGGAACUAGAAGAAAGGGGUCUAUUUCUGUCUCCUUAUCUCCCUCCCCCAGCCUCCUGGCAUCCUGCUGCAGGCCUCCCAGGCACUCAGGGCCCAGCCUGUCUGGUCUGGCUCACUGACCUCACGGACCCUGGGUCCCCUGUGUCUAGCAGUUAGCACACAUCCCAGCUCUCUCAGCUCCAUCAGCGUGGACCUAACACUUGAGUCUUACUUUCAACGUGUUCUGAAAAUGACUAUAAAAACCUUCACUGAGGACUUCUAAGGAAUGGACAGCAUGUCACCCUCAGCCUUCCUAAGGAGAAUCUGCCCAGGACUAGACUCUUGGCUCCGUCUUAGUCGGAAUACCUGGGGUUUUGAUAGUAUCAAUGGCCAGUAACGCCCUGCCUUGUUAAGACUGGAAGGAGGUGUCCUGCAAAUCCUCAUUUCCUGAGCCAGGAUUUCUUUUGAACUCUAGGUAAAUUCUAGCCAAGUGGUCAGCUGAGAAAUUGGGAACCCUUUGUUAUUGUUUUAAGAGGAGGGCUUCCCUUUGUCAGGCACGGGAGCUGGGUUAAUGAAACUGGCCCAGGGCAGCUUCUUCCUAAUAUAUUUCCAAAUGAGAAGAGAAUUGGCAAGUGGGGAAUCCCAUCACCCUGGGUUUUCUUUUGCAUUUUGGUAUAGACAGGGGGAUCUUCAAUGCUUGACCAACUUCCUCUCUGACUCAGUAACCUGCAGUGAAACAGGAGCCACGUCCACCCACUCCCUUCUGGAUGGAAAAGGAACCGCUGCAGUCCACAGCACAGGCUCUGGAGGCAGUGAAGCAGGACAGACUCACAUUUUAUCUGGCACAACUGGGCAUUCCCUGGGGAGCACACAGACCGGGCUGUGGGCUUAGGGCUCCCAUUCCCAAAGGACAGCUGGGCUCACAGCAAAGUGCCAUUUACAUCACAUUUAAACAAUACAGGACGGAGCCCUGCUGCCUGGAGGCGGCACAGCAGGGAAGGGCGGAGCCUAGGAGCUGACUCCUUAGUCCCCAAGUCCCAUUGUGCGGCCUCAGCCCCUCAGUCUUCCCUCUCCCAGGAGUGAGGACUGAGUGAGGCAUUGCUUGUGAAAAUCACACCACGGCCUGAAAACACUGCCCUCAAGUCACUCUAAGCAAAGUAGGUAUGAAUGCGGGUCACUUACCAUGCUGAGGGAUUUUUGUAUUGGGCAAUGGCUGAAGAAAAUUGUAAGUAACAACAGAAUGUGUUUACAGAGUUAUUUGGAUCAGUGUAGUACAGGUGCAAGAAAGAUCAGGAGCCCAGUCUUACUCUCCUUAAUAAGGGAAACUAUAUAUGAUUAAAUAAAUGAUAUUGGAACGACCCUGUUUCUUUCUUUAUUUGUUUAUAUUUAGCGGUGUUGGGGAUCGAACUCAGUGCCUCACACAUGCUAGGCAAGCGCUCUACCACUGAGCCACAACCCCAGCAGCCAUUUUUCUUUAUGUUGAAAAAAGUUAGAUCCUGCCCACAGUAUUUACAGAAAUAAUUUUCAGAUUAAUUAAAAAAUUAAAUGUUAUCUAAAAACUUCUAGAAUUAAUACACAAAAAUAAAUAAGAUCAUACUUCAGUUUUCAGGAGUACAAAAAGACUGUAAGCAAGACCCAAGAAGACAAAGAAAGUAAAGACUGAUCAAUUUGACCAUAUAAUACUUCUGUGGUUAAAAAUUUCCUUAAUAAAUGCUUACUGGGGUACAGCGUACAGUAUAUACAGAGAAAAGCACAGAUCUGUGCCCUGCUUUGACUAGCAGCAUGGCAGGCAAGUGAUAUUGUGUAACUUCCAGACCAGCCCCGUGUUUGGGAUGCUCCCUCUUAGAAGCAGCUGUGGGAAAUCAUGGAGGACUGAGGCCCAGUGUCAGCUUCCAGGAGGUGCAUACGCCAUCUUGAAUUUUCCAGCCCGGUUGAACCUUGGGACUGCAGACAACGACCAGGGGAGUCAGUCCACAGAAAAUGAAGAUAAUAUCUUAAUCUUUUAAACCACUGAGUAAGUUUUGGGGUGCUUUGUUAUGCAACAACAGAUUGUAGAAACACUUCUUUCUCCAUGGCCGUGCGGAGUCACUUUUACCAUAAACCAGGGAACACGUAGCUGGGUGCAGUGGCCAUGCCUGUAAUGCUAGCAGCUUAGGAGGCUUAUGCAGGAGGGUCUCAAGCUCGACACCAACCUCAGCAACCUUGUGAGACUGUGGCUCAAAAUAAAAAAUAAAAAGGACUGGAGAUAUGGCUCUGUGAUAAAAGUACCUCUGGGUUUAAUCCUCAAUAUCCAUCUAAAUAAAUAAGUAAAUAAAUAAACCAAGCAGCACAGUUUCAGAUCUGGUUCCGGGUUCUUCUAUCCCAUUGGUCCAUCUAACUAUACUUUCAUUAGUUUCAUAAAAUUUGUUUAGAUCUUUGCAUCUUGAUAAUAUUAAGUUUUCUCUGUAGAAUUCUUGAACAUAUUUCAUGAGCUUUAUUCCUUUUGAGUUACCUGAAUAUACAAUGUCAUCUGCAAAAACCAAAGUUUUAUUUCAUACUUUUUGAACUUUACUAUUGUUUUUUGUUUUAUAGAACUAGUAAGGCCCUGGAACACGGUGUUGAUGGAAGUGGCAAAGUAUCAUCAUACUCCCAAUCUCGGAAGGAAGGUCUUCAAUAUUUCACCAUUUAUGAUGUUUGGAUUAAGAUUUUUUUCCUUGUUAAUUCCUUUUAUCAGAUUAUGGAUAUUCCUUUUUGUUUCUAAUUUGCUAAGAAUCUUUAAACAAUAAUUUUUAAAAUUUUUACUAAAUCCUUUCUUGUAUAUUUUGAUGAUUCUAUGACUUUUUUUUCUAUUAGUUGAAUGGCACUGAUUGAUUUCAGAUGUUAAAUCAACCUUGCCUUCCUGCUGUAAGUCUAAUUUGGUUGCUAUUAUUUUUCUUUUUAUAUGUUGCUGUAUUCAAUUUUCUUUUAUUUCUUUCUCUUUUCUUUCUCCUUUUGGAUCUAUGUUUGGAAAAGAGAUUGGUGUACUAUUUUCCCUUUUGUAAAAUCCUUACUGGAUUUUUAAUAUAAAGGUUGUGCUAGCCUCGAAAGUCAA
This 9265-nucleotide long non-coding RNA is filed under the name Marmota monax (woodchuck). The record is from RNAcentral. Lineage: Eukaryota; Metazoa; Chordata; Mammalia; Rodentia; Sciuridae.